RNAcentral lists this unclassified non-coding RNA (309 nucleotides) under Hevea brasiliensis (rubber tree). Lineage: Eukaryota; Viridiplantae; Streptophyta; Magnoliopsida; Malpighiales; Euphorbiaceae. The record is from RNAcentral.
GCCCUCAAUAACCUCAAAGCAAUUGUACCUCCAUCAGCAAGCUUUGCCUUAUAAACAGUCCCAUAAGUAGUCUUCUCCGUUACUUGCCCUGUUGCAUUCAAAACAUCCUCUAAUGUCAAAUGCUCGCCGCCUUGAAACAAAAUUAGCUUUCCUUCACUGCCUCCAGAACCUCCAUUACCACCAUUUUCAUCAUCUUCUCCUUCCUCUAAUUCAUCUUCACUCUCUUCCCCACUUUUCCUCUUCUUGUUUUGCAUAUAGCCUAUUAAUAAAGAGGCCAAAACUACAACACCAGUCAUUAAUCCAAUCACC